RNAcentral lists this ribosomal RNA (386 nucleotides) under uncultured bacterium. Its description in RNAcentral is "bacterial SSU rRNA". It matches the Rfam family "Bacterial small subunit ribosomal RNA", at positions 370 to 772 of the family's 1533-position model. The record is from RNAcentral.
AAUGGGGGAAACCCUGAUGCAGCAACGCCGCGUGAAGGAUGAAGGUUUUCGGAUCGUAAACUUCUUUGAUGAGGGACGAAUAAUGACGGUACCUCAAAAACAAGCCACGGCUAACUACGUGCCAGCAGCCGCGGUAAUACGUAGGUGGCAAGCGUUGUCCGGAUUUACUGGGUGUAAAGGGCGUGUAGGCGGGAAUGUAAGUCAGAUGUGAAACUCCGGGGCUCAACUUCGGAACUGCAUCUGAAACUAUGUUUCUUGAGUGAUGGAGAGGAAAGCGGUAUUCCUAGUGUAGCGGUGAAAUGCGUAGAUAUUAGGAGGAACACCAGUGGCGAAGGCGGCUUUCUGGACAUUAACUGACGCUGAGGCGCGAAAGCGUGGGGAGCAAA